UACGAAGGGGGCUAGCGUUGCUCGGAAUCACUGGGCGUAAAGCGCACGUAGGCGGAUCUUUAAGUCAGGGGUGAAAUCCCGGAGCUCAACUCCGGAACUGCCUUUGAUACUGGCGAUCUCGAGUCCGGGAGAGGUGAGUGGAACUGCGAGUGUAGAGGUGAAAUUCGUAGAUAUUCGCAAGAACACCAGUGGCGAAGGCGGCUCACUGGCCCGGUACUGACGCUGAGGUGCGAAAGCGUGGGGAGCAAACAGG
RNAcentral lists this ribosomal RNA (253 nucleotides) under uncultured bacterium. Its description in RNAcentral is "partial 16S ribosomal RNA". It matches the Rfam family "Bacterial small subunit ribosomal RNA", at positions 524 to 776 of the family's 1533-position model. The record is from RNAcentral.